AGAAUCAACGCUGGCGGCGUGCCUAACACAUGCAAGUCGAACGAGAAAGUGGAGCAAUCCAUGAGUAAAGUGGCGCACGGGUGAGUAACACGUGACUAACCUACCCUUGAGUGGGGGAUAACCUAGAGAAAUCUGGGCUAAUACCGCAUAAUACCUACGGGUCAAAGGAGCAAUUCGCUUUGGGAGGGGGUCGCGGCCGAUUAGUUAGUUGGCGGGGUAAUGGCCCACCAAGACAGUGAUCGGUAUCCGGCCUGAGAGGGCGCACGGACACACUGGAACUGAAACACGGUCCAGACUCCUACGGGAGGCAGCAGUGGGGAAUUUUGCGCAAUGGGGGAAACCCUGACGCAGCAACGCCGCGUGGAGGAUGAAGUACUUCGGUACGUAAACUCCUUUCGAUCGGGACGAUAAUGACGGUACCGGAAGAAGAAGCCCGGCUAACUUCGCGCCAGCAGCCGC
Molecule: ribosomal RNA, 459 nt
Filed under: uncultured bacterium
Lineage: Bacteria
Description: SSU rRNA
Rfam family: Bacterial small subunit ribosomal RNA
Source: RNAcentral